ACGCUGGCGGCAGGCCUAACACAUGCAAGUCGAGCGGAAACGAGUUAUCUGAACCUUCGGGGAACGUUAAGGGCGUCGAGCGGCGGACGGGUGAGUAAUGCCUAGGAAAUUGCCCUGAUGUGGGGGAUAACCAUUGGAAACGAUGGCUAAUACCGCAUGAUGCCUACGGGCCAAAGAGGGGGACCUUCGGGCCUCUCGCGUCAGGAUAUGCCUAGGUGGGAUUAGCUAGUUGGUGAGGUAAUGGCUCACCAAGGCGACGAUCCCUAGCUGGUCUGAGAGGAUGAUCAGCCACACUGGAACUGAGACACGGUCCAGACUCCUACGGGAGGCAGCAGUGGGGAAUAUUGCACAAUGGGCGCAAGCCUGAUGCAGCCAUGCCGCGUGUGUGAAGAAGGCCUUCGGGUUGUAAAGCACUUUCAGUCGUGAGGAAGGUGGURKHGUUAAUAGCWSYAUYAUUUGACGUUAGCGACAGAAGAAGCACCGGCUAACUCCGUGCCAGCAGCCGCGGUAAUACGGAGGGUGCGAGCGUUAAUCGGAAUUACUGGGCGUAAAGCGCAUGCAGGUGGUUUGUUAAGUCAGAUGUGAAAGCCCGGGGCUCAACCUCGGAAUAGCAUUUGAAACUGGCAGACUAGAGUACUGUAGAGGGGGGUAGAAUUUCAGGUGUAGCGGUGAAAUGCGUAGAGAUCUGAAGGAAUACCGGUGGCGAAGGCGGCCCCCUGGACA
Molecule: ribosomal RNA, 723 nt
Filed under: Vibrio sp. 13G07
Lineage: Bacteria; Pseudomonadati; Pseudomonadota; Gammaproteobacteria; Vibrionales; Vibrionaceae
Description: bacterial SSU rRNA
Rfam family: Bacterial small subunit ribosomal RNA
Source: RNAcentral